UACGUAGGGGGCUAGCGUUGUUCGGAUUCACUGGGCGUAAAGGGUGCGCAGGUGGGUUGGCAAGUUUGAUGUGAAAGCCCCGGGCUUAACCCGGGAAUGGCAUCGAAUACUGCUGAUCUGGAGGAUUGGAGGGGGGACUGGAAUUCUUGGUGUAGCAGUGAAAUGCGUAGAUAUCAAGAGGAACACCAGUGGCGAAGGCGAGUCCCUGGACAAUACCUGACACUGAGGCACGAAAGCCAAGGGAGCAAACAGG
Molecule: ribosomal RNA, 253 nt
Filed under: uncultured bacterium
Lineage: Bacteria
Description: partial 16S ribosomal RNA
Rfam family: Bacterial small subunit ribosomal RNA
Source: RNAcentral